This 403-nucleotide ribosomal RNA is filed under the name uncultured bacterium. Its description in RNAcentral is "partial 16S ribosomal RNA". It matches the Rfam family "Bacterial small subunit ribosomal RNA", at positions 30 to 526 of the family's 1533-position model. The record is from RNAcentral.
AUUGAACGCUGGCGGCAGGCCUAACACAUGCAAGUCGAGCGAGCGGCGGACGGGUGAGUAAUGUAUGUGGGCUGCCCGAUAGAGGGGGAUAACUACUGGAAACGCUAGCUCAUACCGCAUACUAUCGGAUACUCCCUAGGGGAUUAGCUAGUAGGGGAGGUAAUGGCUCACCUAGGCGACGAUCCCUAGCUGGUCUGAGAGGAUGAUCAGCCACACUGGGACUGAGACACGGCCCAGACUCCUACGGAGGCAGCAGUGGGGAAUAUUGCACAAUGGGCGCAAGCCUGAUGCAGCCAUGCCGCGUGUAUGAAGAAGGCCCUAGGGUUGUAAAGUACUUUCAGUCGGGAGGCGUUACCGACAGAAGAAGCACCGGCUAACUCCGUGCCAGCAGCCGCGGUAAUUC